UGGAAAUGAUGAAAUAGAGAUACAUGGGUGUUGAAUGUUGCAUGACUGAAAAUUUGUAAUAUGUAAUUUUCCUGGUUUAAAGUUUUAUUGAUACUUAGUAGUGUAUAGUGUGAGUGUGUGUGUACUUGUGUGUGUGCAUGUGGUGGCUAUGGAAAGGGGGCACUGAAUGGUGAUGCUGAUAUUGGAGUGCAUCUGAGGCUGUUGUAAAAAUAACUUGGGUUGUUGAUUACAACAUUGCCGAUGAUUAUAACCCAAGAACAGCUCACCUUACUAGCCCAGCACCCUAAAAUCUCUAACAGGCUCAUUAAAUGUGUCCUGUGAUCUGAUCCAA
Non-coding RNA from Nannospalax galili (Upper Galilee mountains blind mole rat), 331 nucleotides. Ensembl annotates it as predicted gene, 22009. The record is from Ensembl. Lineage: Eukaryota; Metazoa; Chordata; Mammalia; Rodentia; Spalacidae.